Molecule: ribosomal RNA, 434 nt
Filed under: uncultured bacterium
Lineage: Bacteria
Description: partial 16S ribosomal RNA
Rfam family: Bacterial small subunit ribosomal RNA
Source: RNAcentral
GCGAACGCUGGCGGCAGGCUUAACACAUGCAAGUCGAGCGGGCACUUUCGGGUGUCAGCGGCGGACGGGUGAGUAACGCGUGGGAACGUGCCCUCUGGUUCGGAAUAACUCAGGGAAACUUGAGCUAAUACCGGAUACGCCCUUUUGGGGAAAGGCUUGCUGCCGGAGGAUCGGCCCGCGUCUGAUUAGCUAGUUGGUGAGGUAACGGCUCACCAAGGCGACGAUCAGUAGCUGGUCUGAGAGGAUGAUCAGCCACACUGGGACUGAGACACGGCCCAGACUCCUACGGGAGGCAGCAGUGGGGAAUAUUGGACAAUGGGCGCAAGCCUGAUCCAGCCAUGCCGCGUGAGUGAUCAAGGCCUUAGGGUUGUAAAGCUCUUUUAUCCGGGACGAUAAUGACGGUACCGGAGGAAUAAGCCCCGGCUAACUUCGUG